AAUUUUAUAUGUAAACUAAGUGAUAAGCAAGUAAAAUGUGAUAUUUUAAGGUACAAUAAAAAAAACAGUAUAAAUUAAGGGUAAACAGGCAAGAAAACGGUGUAAUUUCAAGGUACAAUUAUCAAAAAAUGUCUGCAUA
Amblyraja radiata (thorny skate) is the source of this 139-nucleotide long non-coding RNA. RefSeq lists it as uncharacterized. NCBI's taxonomy places the organism in Eukaryota, Metazoa, Chordata, Chondrichthyes, Rajiformes, Rajidae. The transcript has 3 exons. The record is from RefSeq and is a predicted model, not a curated record.